This 674-nucleotide ribosomal RNA is filed under the name Vibrio parahaemolyticus. RNAcentral describes it as "bacterial SSU rRNA". It matches the Rfam family "Bacterial small subunit ribosomal RNA", at positions 444 to 1110 of the family's 1533-position model. Lineage: Bacteria; Pseudomonadati; Pseudomonadota; Gammaproteobacteria; Vibrionales; Vibrionaceae. The record is from RNAcentral.
GAGGAAGGUAGUGUAGUUAAUAGCUGCAUUAUUUGACGUUAGCGACAGAAGAAGCACCGGCUAACUCCGUGCCAGCAGCCGCGGUAAUACGGAGGGUGCGAGCGUUAAUCGGAAUUACUGGGCGUAAAGCGCAUGCAGGUGGUUUGUUAAGUCAGAUGUGAAAGCCCGGGGCUCAACCUCGGAAUUGCAUUUGAAACUGGCAGACUAGAGUACUGUAGAGGGGGGUAGAAUUUCAGGUGUAGCGGUGAAAUGCGUAGAGAUCUGAAGGAAUACCGGUGGCGAAGGCGGCCCCCUGGACAGAUACUGACACUCAGAUGCGAAAGCGUGGGGAGCAAACAGGAUUAGAUACCCUGGUAGUCCACGCCGUAAACGAUGUCUACUUGGAGGUUGUGGCCUUGAGCCGUGGCUUUCGGAGCUAACGCGUUAAGUAGACCGCCUGGGGAGUACGGUCGCAAGAUUAAAACUCAAAUGAAUUGACGGGGGCCCGCACAAGCGGUGGAGCAUGUGGUUUAAUUCGAUGCAACGCGAAGAACCUUACCUACUCUUGACAUCCAGAGAACUUUCCAGAGAUGGAUUGGUGCCUUCGGGAACUCUGAGACAGGUGCUGCAUGGCUGUCGUCAGCUCGUGUUGUGAAAUGUUGGGUUAAGUCCCGCAACGAGCGCAACCCUUAUCC